UACGGGGGGGGCAAGCGUUGUUCGGAAUUACUGGGCGUAAAGGGCUCGUAGGCGGCCAACUAAGUCCGACGUGAAAUCCCAAGGCUUAACCUUGGAACUGCGUCGGAUACUGGAUGGCUUGAAUUCGGGAGAGGGAUGCAGAAUUCCAGGUGUAGCGGUGAAAUGCGUAGAUAUCAGGAGGAACACCGAUGGCGAAGGCAGGUCUCUGGGCCACUACUGACGCUGAGAAGCGAAAGCAUGGGGAGCGAACAGG
Molecule: ribosomal RNA, 253 nt
Filed under: uncultured bacterium
Lineage: Bacteria
Description: partial 16S ribosomal RNA
Rfam family: Bacterial small subunit ribosomal RNA
Source: RNAcentral